CCGGCGACCGGCGGGCGGGUGCGUAACGCGUAUGUAACCUACCUUUGACAGGGGGAUAACAUCGAGAAAUUGGUACUAAUACCCCAUAACAUCACCGGAGGCAUCUUCGGUGGUUGAAAACUCAGGUGGUCAGAGAUGGACAUGCGUUGUAUUAGCUAGUUGGUGAGGUAACGGCUCACCAAGGCGACGAUACAUAGGGGGACUGAGAGGUCAACCCCCCACAUUGGUACUGAGACACGGACCAAACUCCUACGGAAGGCAGCAG
Molecule: ribosomal RNA, 265 nt
Filed under: uncultured bacterium
Lineage: Bacteria
Description: partial 16S ribosomal RNA
Rfam family: Bacterial small subunit ribosomal RNA
Source: RNAcentral